RNAcentral lists this ribosomal RNA (754 nucleotides) under Eutypa cerasi. Its description in RNAcentral is "Eutypa sp. SL-2021a partial large subunit ribosomal RNA". It matches the Rfam family "Eukaryotic large subunit ribosomal RNA", at positions 115 to 891 of the family's 3401-position model. The record is from RNAcentral. Lineage: Eukaryota; Fungi; Ascomycota; Sordariomycetes; Xylariales; Diatrypaceae.
UUGAAAUCUGGCCUUCGGGUCCGAGUUGUAAUUUGUAGAGGAUGCUUUUGGUGCAGUGCCUUCCGAGUUCCUUGGAACAGGACGCCUUAGAGGGUGAGAGCCCCGUACGGUUGGACACUAAGCCUCUGUAAAGCUCCUUCGACGAGUCGAGUAGUUUGGGAAUGCUGCUCUAAAUGGGAGGUAAAUUUCUUCUAAAGCUAAAUACCGGCCAGAGACCGAUAGCGCACAAGUAGAGUGAUCGAAAGAUGAAAAGUACUUUGAAAAGAGGGUUAAAUAGCACGUGAAAUUGUUGAAAGGGAAGCGUUUAUGACCAGACCUUUGCCGGGCGGAUCAUCCGGUGUUCUUCACCGGUGCACUUCGCUCGGCUUAGGCCAGCAUCGAUUUCGGCAGGGGGACAAAGACCAUGGGAACGUAGCUCUCUUCGGGGAGUGUUAUAGCCCUAGGUGUAAUACCCUUGCGGGGAUCGAGGUUCGCGCUUCUGCAAGGAUGCUGGCGUAAUGGUCAUCAACGACCCGUCUUGAAACACGGACCAAGGAGUCGAACAUUUAUGCGAGUGUUUGGGUGUUAAACCCUCACGCGUAAUGAAAGUGAACGGAGGUGAGAGCCCUCUUUUGGGUGCAUCAUCGACCGAUCCUGAUGUAUUCGGAAGGAUUUGAGUAAGAGCAUAACUGUUCGGACCCGAAAGAUGGUGAACUAUGCGUGGAUAGGGUGAAGCCAGAGGAAACUCUGGUGGAGGCUCGCAGCGGUUCUGACG